Molecule: long non-coding RNA, 1497 nt
Organism: Leptopilina boulardi
Lineage: Eukaryota; Metazoa; Arthropoda; Insecta; Hymenoptera; Figitidae
Exons: 5
Source: RefSeq, a predicted model, not a curated record
AUAGCAACCAACGAUCAUCACGUCGUUGUCAAAUCUUUUGCAGGACCAAAAUUAUAGAUAAUUAAUUAAUAUGAAUCAGUGAGAAGAUAUUUAGUUAUUGAAGAGAAAAAAAUGUUGAAAUCUGAAGCUAUCAUUGGUUCAUCAAGUUCUUCUAAAGAGUGUAAUAUGCGAGAAAAGAUGGACCAAAAAUUUCAUCGAAAUAGAAGCUACGGAAGUUAAGUUUGCGUCUAGAAGAAUAUCGAACCAACGAAUUGGAAAAUUAUAAAGCAGCAAGGAUCAUCAGGAUGAGAAUAACAAGAAAACAUUACACCAUUGACAUGGACCCCAUGUUUAUAUAAAUAACCUCUGAUGGGUAGUGUUAGUGCUUCCAUAAAUGAAAGAAGCGGAUCGAACCCCAAUCAUCAAACAGACUCUGUGACCCCACGAAACGACAAACAUUUCAACCCUCGGAGGAUGCAACUACAACAAUGGAUGACGUAACGUUUUCCAAAGUCAUAUUACCCAAAGGAUGCUAAUACCCUAAUCAUCAAAGGAAUUAAGAAGCUUCCCAAGUAAGAAAGGACGAACCCCUAAUCAUCGUAUUUUUAAAAUCUUCAUAGGAGAAGAAAAUCAUUUGAUUACGUGUAUAGUGUGAAAGUCUUCCUAGAGAAAAUCAUUGGUUUAGUGUUGUGAUCAAGUGUUGAAAGUGUUAAUCGAAAGGUUUGAAAAUCUUCUUAGAAUGAGAAAAUGUGUUGUGAUCAAGUGUUGGAAAGGUUUGAAAAUCUUCUUACGAGAAAAUGUGUUGUGAUAAGAAAGUGAAGUCAACAAAUUUAAAUAGGUCAAUAAAAGUGUUUAGUGUGUGAAAAUUAAAUUCAGUGAAAAAUAUUGUGAAAUUAUUUUCAAGAAAGUUUUGUGUGUUAAAGAAAAAUUACACAUUGUACCAUGGGAAAGAGAUAAAUCUGCAACAGAAGGAAGUAGCCGCUGCAGAGUCAUUGCUACAUCAAAAUGAUUAUAUAUCUACAAUCGGAAAGGCAACAAAACAAUGGUCCAAUGACUCUUCAGGACUUCUGUUUCCAUGUCCAUAGGCUUGCAAAUCGUCCCGUUAACAAGAAUAUAAAUCCUUGUCAAGAACAAAUUAAAGUGGUGGAAUGCUUUUACAUAUGUGCUUCGACUUAUUCAAUUUUUUUUGCGGAUUUAACAAAAGUAAAACUGCAAACGAUUUUGAGGGUAUUUAAAUAUUAUUUGUCCCUAAUAUUUAUGACCUGAAAAAUUUGUUAUUUCGGGAGUGUUCGAAUUUAUCUUAAACCGCGAUCGACUUAUAUUUCCCAAGUUUUUAAAGUUUAUUAAAAUUCAUUUUAUGAUUCUAACGUGUAACGCAGUAUUUAAUCAGUGUGCUACGGGAGUGUUCGAAAUUCUUAAAAUCAAGUGUGAGUGUUUUUUUCUCAAAGUGAAAUGUGCAACUCCAGGAUAAAAAUCAAGAAAUUAUAUGCUGCCGUCGCUUUACGUCGAAGGAAUCUG